Molecule: unclassified non-coding RNA, 469 nt
Filed under: Hevea brasiliensis (rubber tree)
Lineage: Eukaryota; Viridiplantae; Streptophyta; Magnoliopsida; Malpighiales; Euphorbiaceae
Source: RNAcentral
GGCAGCAUCUCCAGCUUUGGUCUUCUUGACACCACGGAUUUUCUUAGUCCGGUUCUUUCUUUCCUUCAUCUGCUUUCUUGACUUCUCAACCUUAGUAGCCAGCCCAUUCCUGAUGAGCCGGUACUUAGGCUCAUACUUCUUCGCACUCUCAACAUUAUCAUAGAUCAGCCCAAACCCUGUAGACUUGCCCCCUCCGAAGUGCGUGCGGAACUUGAACACGAAGAUCGCGUUCGCGUCCUUAACCUCAUAGAUAGAGGCCAGCUUCCCCUUCAGCUCCGCCUUCGAGACAUUCGCCCUACCGGGGUGCAACACGUCGAUGACAAAUUGCUUGCGAGAGAGGAGGCGGUUGGUCAUGAACUUCCGAGUUCGGAUCGUGAUCGGGGCCUGCUUCGUCUCCGCCAUAGUUGUAAGGGCUAGAUCGGGGACGACGACGGCGGCGGAGAGGAGCGGCUGAAGUGAGAGUUGCAAA